GUUUUUUAAAUGCAGGUGUUUAUUAUUAAGGGGGGGAAUAAUCCAAACCUACCUGGCCCUGUGUGAAAAAGGGCGAUCUUGAUGAUCCCCAAGACUCUGUGAGCUGAUGAGACAAAAACUGAAGGUGUCUGUCCCAUUACAUCUGACAUAAAACUAACACAGCGCUUCAGAUAAGGAACAUCAUACCAACAAUAAAAUAUGAUAAAAGUGUUUUUCACACCAGUGCAUGUUUGUUUAGCAUGAAAUGUCAUGUUGCCUUUCAUAAUGUUUGAUUAAAGAUAACAGCAUCAUUAUAGACUUCCCUGAUUUCUAUUGUGCUCAUCAAGCCACUCACUCAGGUUCACAGAAAGACAAUGAAAGAGAGUCUUCAGGUACGCAAUUAAAUGUCAGCAUCACUUCUUAAUUUAAACAAUAAAAUUGUGUAUACUUGGAAGGUUACACACAAUAAACAGGGAACGGGGAUGUAUAUGGCAAUGGUAAAAAAUAUGUUUGUUCAGAUGUGGCUCAUCAUCACUGGGUGUUUGUUUGUUUGUUUGUUUGUUUGUUUGUUUGUUUGUUUGUUUGUUUGUUUGUUUGUUUGUUUGUUUGUUUGUUUGUUUGUUUGUUUGUUUGUUUGUUUGUUUGUUUGUUUGGUUGGUUGUUUGUUUGUUUGGUUGGUUGGUUGGUUGGUUGGUGGGUGUUUUGUAUUGUUUUGUUUCAUUUUUGUUUGUUUUUUUAUCGUGGCUUUUGGCCCCAAUUUCAAAACUGUCCCAACUUUUUUAGACAAGUUACUUUCAUCAAAUUCAAAAUGAGCUAAUAUUUUUCAUGAAACAAUAAAAUGUAGCAUUUGAAAACCAAUUUUUGUUCUCUGGGUUUCAAAUCAGAAUGAAUUCAGAGUACUUUAAUUUGUUGUUUUUACUCAGGUUUUCUCAUUUUAUGUAUUCCUUUCUUCAACUCUGGCAUUUUAUCCUAUUUUUGUUAAUUGAUUAUUUUAGAAAUACAGCACUUGGCUUCACUAGCAUGUCUCUAUGUUCUACUGUGAAUGAAAUAUGGGUUUGUCAGAUUUGCAAAUCAUUGCAGUCUAUUGUUAUUUGCAUUUUACACUGUCUCCUGACUAUCUUAGCAUUGAAUUUGUAAAAUCAAACAAAAAUAAAAUACACUGCCUUCUCAGUUAAUUGCCCAUAAUGUAACAAAUCUAUAUGUUACAAAGCAUCUUUUUCAUGUGAGAUCACUUUUUUAUCUAUUUAUUUUUUGACUGUAUGCCAUGCUGUAUGUGGAUUAAAGACUUCCUGUCUGAUCACUCCCAGUGGGUGAGAGUAAGCUGCUAGAUCUCCUCAGUCCUCAGUCUCAGCACUGGCUCCCCACAGAGCUGUGUGCUGAGCCCCCUACUCUUCACCCUCUACACCCACAACUGCACCACCACUCACUCCAGCAACAACGUCAUCUAAUUUGCCAAUAACACCACCAUAGUGGGGCUCACCUUAGGGGGCGAUGAGUCUGCUUAUCAGGAUGAGGUGGAGCAG
Molecule: long non-coding RNA, 1502 nt
Organism: Astatotilapia calliptera (eastern happy)
Lineage: Eukaryota; Metazoa; Chordata; Actinopteri; Cichliformes; Cichlidae
Source: Ensembl